GAGGGUAUAGCUCAAGUGGUAGAGCAUAUGCCUAGCAUGCACGAGGCCCUGGGUUCAAUCCCCAGUACCUCCU
This 73-nucleotide transfer RNA is filed under the name Camelus bactrianus (Bactrian camel). It matches the Rfam family "tRNA". From Rfam's summary of the family: Transfer RNA (tRNA) molecules are approximately 80 nucleotides in length. Their secondary structure includes four short double-helical elements and three loops (D, anti-codon, and T loops). The record is from Rfam by way of RNAcentral. RNAcentral also lists the same sequence under 2 other names. Lineage: Eukaryota; Metazoa; Chordata; Mammalia; Artiodactyla; Camelidae.